AGCAGUCGCCGCGGUAAUACGGAGGGUGCAAGCGUUAAACGGAAUUACUGGGCGUAAAGCGCACGCAGGCGGUCUGACAAGUCAGAUGUGAAAUCCCCGGGCUUAACCUGGGAACUGCAUUUGAAACUGUCAGGCUGGAGUCUUGUAGAGGGGGGUAGAAUUCCAGGUGUAGCGGUGAAAUGCGUAGAGAUCUGGAGGAAUACCGGUGGCGAAGGCGGCCCCCUGGACAAAGACUGACGCUCAGGUGCGAAAGCGUGGGGAGCAAACAGGAUUAGAGACCCCUGUAGUCCCUGUCUCUUAUAC
RNAcentral lists this ribosomal RNA (303 nucleotides) under uncultured bacterium. Its description in RNAcentral is "partial 16S ribosomal RNA". It matches the Rfam family "Bacterial small subunit ribosomal RNA", at positions 507 to 807 of the family's 1533-position model. The record is from RNAcentral.